GUCAUACAAGAAUUUACAUGCUAGCACUUUAAUUGUCAGAAGCUAGUUUCUAUUAGGCAGAUGGACUGUGAAUGAGUAACAGCAUUUCCCAUUAGUGGAGGGAAAAAGAAAAAUGAAGAAUUCAUCAAUGGGCAAUCAAAAUUGAACCAGUAAGCUUGACAAAAAUGUCUGACCCACAUAUCAACAGGCCUUUUUGGUGACAUGAGAGCAGAAAUCAGGAGAUGGAGUUCAGCUGAAGCACAUCUGAGAAUAUCUGAGCUGGAACAAUCUGCAUCAUGGUGGGGCCCCGACAUCUGCUUGGACUUCCAGGUGCAAAGUCAUGAUAAUCGUCCCCUCAUGAGAAUACAUGCUGGCUCUCAGCUGGGUAUCAGGACAAGAAGGAAGAGAGGAAGGAAGGAGGCAGCAUGUCUGAUGAUGCCUCCACUUCACAGUGGUAAAAAGGAACACGGGCAAAUUCUUCAUGCUGAUGGCUGCAUGACUUUCAGACCUAUGAGCUGGAUGUAGCUGUCCUGUACUGAUAAGAUCCUUCCUCCUCAAAUCACAGCCUUCUGUAGCAUCAGGAGCUUUGCUUACCA
This is a long non-coding RNA of Oxyura jamaicensis (ruddy duck), 575 nucleotides long. RefSeq lists it as uncharacterized. Lineage: Eukaryota; Metazoa; Chordata; Aves; Anseriformes; Anatidae. The transcript has 3 exons. The record is from RefSeq and is a predicted model, not a curated record.